This 225-nucleotide small RNA is filed under the name Streptomyces malaysiensis. Its description in RNAcentral is "Actinobacteria sRNA Ms_IGR-5". It matches the Rfam family "Actinobacteria sRNA Ms_IGR-5". Lineage: Bacteria; Bacillati; Actinomycetota; Actinomycetes; Kitasatosporales; Streptomycetaceae. The record is from Rfam by way of RNAcentral.
ACACGAGAAGGGAGGUGGUUCGGCAGAUGUAUGAAAUCCGGACGCGUGAGGUGACUGCGGGCUAGUCGUCCGUCGUCGCGCUCAGCGCAUUCGCCGGACAGGCGCACGAGACAUGUGCGUGGCCGGCCAAUCCCAAGCAGUCACCCGACCCGCGGGUCGCCGGUACGUCCGACCGGCCCCCUUCCGCCUCAGGGCGUCAGGGGAGAGACCCGCGGGUCGUCUGCU